This 903-nucleotide ribosomal RNA is filed under the name uncultured bacterium. RNAcentral describes it as "bacterial SSU rRNA". It matches the Rfam family "Bacterial small subunit ribosomal RNA", at positions 30 to 925 of the family's 1533-position model. The record is from RNAcentral.
AUAAUGAUGCAGCAGGCCUAAACAUGCAGUCGAACGGUAACAGGAAGAAGCUUGCUUCUUUGCUGACGAGUGGCGGACGGGUGAGUAAUGUCUGGGAAACUGCCUGAUGGAGGGGGAUAACUACUGGAAACGGUAGCUAAUACCGCAUAACGUCGCAAGACCAAAGAGGGGGACCUUCGGGCCUCUUGCCAUCGGAUGUGCCCAGAUGGGAUUAGCUAGUAGGUGGGGUAACGGCUCACCUAGGCGACGAUCCCUAGCUGGUCUGAGAGGAUGACCAGCCACACUGGAACUGAGACACGGUCCAGACUCCUACGGGAGGCAGCAGUGGGGAAUAUUGCACAAUGGGCGCAAGCCUGAUGCAGCCAUGCCGCGUGUAUGAAGAAGGCCUUCGGGUUGUAAAGUACUUUCAGCGGGGAGGAAGGGAGUAAAGCUAAUACCUUUGCUCAUUGACGUUACCCGCAGAAGAAGCACCGGCUAACUCCGUGCCAGCAGCCGCGGUAAUACGGAGGGUGCAAGCGUUAAUCGGAAUUACUGGGCGUAAAGCGCACGCAGGCGGUUUGUUAAGUCAGACGUGAAAUCCCCGGGCUCAACCUGGGAACUGCAUCUGAUACUGGCAAGCUUGAGUCUCGUAGAGGGGGGUAGAAUUCCAGGUGUAGCGGUGAAAUGCGUAGAGAUCUGGAGGAAUACCGGUGGCGAAGGCGGCCCCCUGCACGAAGACUGACGCUCAGGUGCGAAAGCGUGGGGAGCAAACAGGAUUAGAUACCCUGUAGUCCACGCCGUAAACGAUGUCGACUUGGGGGUUGUGCCCUUGAGGCGUGGCUUCCGGAGCUAACGCGUUAAGUCGACCGCCUGGGGAGUACGGCCGCAAGGUUAAAACUCAAAUGAAUUUGACGGAAGGGCGAA